GCUGGGUGUAGUGGCGCACGCCUGUAAUCCCAGCUACACGGGAGGCUGAGGCAGGAGAAUCACUUGAACCCAGGAGGUGGAGGUUGCAGUGAGCUGAGAUCGUGCCACUGCACUCCAACCUGAGUGAUAGAGUGAGACUCCAUCUCAAAACAAACAAACAAAAAAUAUAUAGUAUAGACACAAAAGCAGUUUAGGUUUCAACUAUUUUUUUUUUCUGAGACAGAGUUUCACUAUUGUUGCCCAGGCUGGAGUGCAGUGGCGCAAUCUCGGCUCACUGCAGCCUCCGCCUGCUGGGUUCAAGCAAUUCUCCUGCCUCAG
This 318-nucleotide small RNA is filed under the name Pongo abelii (Sumatran orangutan). RNAcentral describes it as "Metazoan signal recognition particle RNA (ENSPPYG00000030334.1)". Lineage: Eukaryota; Metazoa; Chordata; Mammalia; Primates; Hominidae. The record is from RNAcentral.